ACAACUCUAGACGGGGGAUCACUCGGCUCGUGCGU
RNAcentral lists this ribosomal RNA (35 nucleotides) under Turbo cornutus. RNAcentral's name for it is "partial 5.8S rRNA". Lineage: Eukaryota; Metazoa; Mollusca; Gastropoda; Trochida; Turbinidae. The record is from RNAcentral. RNAcentral also lists the same sequence under 6 other names.